GACGAGCGCUGGCGGCGUGCCUAAUACAUGCAAGUCGAACGAGAGCGACCGGUGCUUGCACUGGUAAUCUAGUGGCGAACGGGUGAGUAACACGUGGGUAACCUGCCCAUCAGAGGGGGAUAACAUCCGGAAACGGAUGCUAAAACCGCAUAGGUCUUCGAACCGCAUGGUUUGAAGAGGAAAAGAGGCGCAAGCUUCUGCUGAUGGAUGGACCCGCGGUGCAUUAGCUAGUUGGUGAGGUAACGGCUCACCAAGGCCGUGAUGCAUAGCCGACCUGAGAGGGUGAUCGGCCACAUUGGGACUGAGACACGGCCCAAACUCCUACGGGAGGCAGCAGUAGGGAAUCUUCCGCAAUGGACGCAAGUCUGACGGAGCAACGCCGCGUGAGUGAAGAAGGUUUUCGGAUCGUAAAACUCUGUUGUUAGAGAAGAACAAGUGCUAGAGUAACUGUUAGCGCCUUGACGGUAUCUAACCAGAAAGCCACGGCUAACUACGUG
RNAcentral lists this ribosomal RNA (497 nucleotides) under uncultured bacterium. RNAcentral describes it as "partial 16S ribosomal RNA". It matches the Rfam family "Bacterial small subunit ribosomal RNA", at positions 28 to 507 of the family's 1533-position model. The record is from RNAcentral.